CAGUGCCUACGGGACGCAGCAGUCGGGAAUAUUGCACAAUGGAGGAAACUCUGAUGCAGUGACGCCGCGUGCAGGAAGAAGGUUUUCGGAUUGUAAACUGCUUUAGAUAGGGAAGAUAAAAGACUGUACCUAUAGAAUAAGCUCCGGCUAACUACGUGCCAGCAGCCGCGGUAAUACGUAGGGAGCAAGCGUUAUCCGGAUUUACUGGGUGUAAAGGGAGCGUAGACGGUGCAGCAAGUCUGAUGUGAAAGGUCGGGGCCCAACCCCGGGACUGCAUUGGAAACUGUUGAACUGGAGUACAGGAG
This 305-nucleotide ribosomal RNA is filed under the name uncultured bacterium. RNAcentral describes it as "bacterial SSU rRNA". It matches the Rfam family "Bacterial small subunit ribosomal RNA", at positions 334 to 654 of the family's 1533-position model. The record is from RNAcentral.